Molecule: ribosomal RNA, 773 nt
Filed under: uncultured Neocallimastigales
Lineage: Eukaryota; Fungi; Neocallimastigomycota; Neocallimastigomycetes; Neocallimastigales
Description: partial large subunit ribosomal RNA
Rfam family: Eukaryotic large subunit ribosomal RNA
Source: RNAcentral
GCAUCUGUGCAUGCAGCAUAUCAAUAGCGGAGGAAAAGAAACUAACAAGGAUUCCCCUAGUAACGGCGAGUGAAGCGGGAAGAGCUCAAAUUUGAAAUCUUAAAGGGUUUCCCUUUACGAAUUGUAGUUUAAAGAAGUGUUUUCUGUUGAGGUUUUGGUAAAAGUUCUUUGGAAUAGGACAUCAUAGAGGGUGAGAAUCCCGUAUUUGACCUUUACUUUCAACUUUGUGAUACACUUUCAAAGAGUCGGAUUGUUUGGGAAUGCAGUCCAAAAUGGGUGGUAAAUUUCAUCUAAAGCUAAAUAUUGGCGAGAGACCGAUAGGCGAACAAGUACCGUGAGGGAAAGAUGAAAAGAACUUUGAAAAGAGAGUUAAACAGUACGUGAAAUUGUCAAAAGGGAAGCGUUUGACACCAGUGUUGUUUUUCUGAAAAUCAAUUAAAGAACUGUUUAUGCUAAGUUGUUUAGACUUUAUCAGCUAUCUGCUUAGUUUUGAGCUUUUCUUUAAUGCACUUUUCAGUUAACAAGUCAACAUCAAUUUCUUUUGCUGUAAAAAAGCUUGAGGAAGGUGGCUUGAGAUUCGUCUUAAGUGUUUAUAGCCUCUUGCCUAUGCAGUCGGAGAGAUUGAGGUCUGCAGCGUAGAUCCUUCGGGGCUAAAUGCAUUUGUGCUAAGUUAUAGCAUUUUAUAGACAACUUGUUGACUAUGAUUUGUCUUGUAGCUUACUCGCUUAUGUUAUUUUACCUACGCUUAGGAUGUUGAGUCAUCACACAUCUCU